Small nuclear RNA from Manis pentadactyla (Chinese pangolin), 106 nucleotides. NCBI's taxonomy places the organism in Eukaryota, Metazoa, Chordata, Mammalia, Pholidota, Manidae. The record is from RefSeq and is a predicted model, not a curated record.
GUGCUCACUUCAGCAUAUAUACUAAAAUUGAAACCAUACAGACAAAGUUAUCAUGGCCCCUGAGCAGAGGAAAGUCACAAAUUUUCUAUUAGCAUUGCUGAGUUUU